UAAUAGCGUAUAUUAAAGUUGUUGCAGUUAAAAAGCUCGUAGUCGAAUCUUGGGGUCGGGCAGGCUAUCGGCCUAGUGUCGGAUGGUCAACUCGGCUCUUUCUUUCUGGGGACUGCGUCCCUUUAAUUAGGGGCGUAUGGACGCAGAUCGUUUACUUUGAAAAAAUUAGAGUGUUCAAAGCAAGCCAUCGCUUGAAUACAUUAGCAUGGAAUAAUGGAAUAGGACUGCGGUUCUAUUUUGUUGGUUUCUAGGACCGAAGUAAUGAUUAAUAGGGACAGUUGGGGCCGUUUAUAUUCCGUUGUCAGAGGUGAAAUUCUUGGAUUUACGGAAGAUAAACUUCUGCGAAAGCAUUCGGCAAGGAUGUUUNCAUUG
RNAcentral lists this ribosomal RNA (372 nucleotides) under uncultured eukaryote. RNAcentral describes it as "partial 18S ribosomal RNA". It matches the Rfam family "Eukaryotic small subunit ribosomal RNA", at positions 592 to 975 of the family's 1831-position model. The record is from RNAcentral.